Homo sapiens (human) is the source of this 635-nucleotide long non-coding RNA. RefSeq annotates it as ATP13A5 antisense RNA 1. NCBI's taxonomy places the organism in Eukaryota, Metazoa, Chordata, Mammalia, Primates, Hominidae. The transcript has 2 exons. The record is from RefSeq and is marked validated.
AGAGACAAACCCCAGGAGAGCCUGAGGUCCUCCAGAGGGAUAUUAGUGAGUGGCUUGUCUGAGCAAAAGCCAUUUCUACUCACCCCACAGUCGUUAGCUCCAUCUCCACACAUGCCCACAUAAUAACUGCGGGAGACAGGAGAAGAAGGAUUAAUAGGUCCAGUCUCUUGGUUCUCCACCAGCUGCCAGGUCACAGAGGCAGGAACAAAUUCUUCUGGUUCAUCGGCCUCAACAAUGAUCACUUGGCUGCCUGGAGGGAUCAUUUCAGAAUUCUUUGCAACAGUAAUGGCCGUUUGAAGGUUAUCACCUAGAAGACAAAGAAACUUUGCUUGCUGUAUGUACAAACCUCCCCUCAGCAACAAGAACUGAGGUCUCCCUUUUCCACUCUGCUUGGUGUUCUUUGAGAGCAUUUACCGCUUUCUGCCUUAUUUUAUCUUCCUCUCUGCUGUAGACUGCCCCUACUGGGCAAACACUAUGUUCCCAUCUCCCUCUCCAUAUUCUGCAUCAUAUCCUGGUCCAUGUGUAUUUCAAAACAUGUGUGAAUUAAUAAAGAAAUACUUAAGCAUUUAUGACCAAUCCUCAGAAGACAGACAACUCUUAGUGGAGAAUAUAGCAUGAUCUCAGCCUGAUAGCUU